This is a long non-coding RNA of Pseudoliparis swirei, 661 nucleotides long. RefSeq lists it as uncharacterized. The transcript is spliced from 4 exons. NCBI's taxonomy places the organism in Eukaryota, Metazoa, Chordata, Actinopteri, Perciformes, Liparidae. The record is from RefSeq and is a predicted model, not a curated record.
CUGAGACGGGGGUGGGGAAGAGAAACCGAGCGCUCAACAUUUUAACUGCGCCUUUAGAGAGAGAGAGAAGGGGGACCGCGUAACCCAGUUUUGAGCGGGAGGUGCCAAAGCAGCCGCGGCUCGAGCGGAGGAGUCAGUCGGCAGUGUCAACACCGACACUGGCUUCGGGAGGGAAACGAGACGCCGGGACACACGGUGCCUUUUUUUGGGCUUACCGCGUCAUGCACAUCUCCCUCAGUGGAUGCUUGUACCGGCAGAAGCUGUCGUCACACGGACAAGAAGCCGGCCCAGGCCUCGUACCCGGGUGUAGGAGGUUACUUGACCUUCAACCUUGGGGUCAGGUGACUCUUUGAGGCCAUUGUGAGGAGAGCAAAUGUCGUAGGAAUGGGUUAAAUAGGCCGAGCAGCGAAGGUGACAUGUCCAGGCAUGCCGCCAUGAAAGAGAGGGAGAAGAAUGGGGCGAGCUUGGCUUGAUGGAUGGACCUGGAGAAAUGAAUCGGCUGAAAAAGAAAAUACACCUACCUGGGGCUGUGGACGCUCAGUCGUGCCCCAUCGAUCUGACAAUUACACCCCCCUGAUGUUAAGUUGUAUUAGUCUAAUUUGCGGUGUAUCAAAUGUCUUUAUUGUUAUUGGUCAAUUUUCGUAUUAAACAAAAGAUAAAA